Long non-coding RNA from Cyanistes caeruleus (blue tit), 1650 nucleotides. Lineage: Eukaryota; Metazoa; Chordata; Aves; Passeriformes; Paridae. The record is from Ensembl.
GUGCGGCUCAAGAGAGAGCGUGUUUGAAGCAAAAUUAAUUUUGUUUAAUUUUAUUAAAGAACCGAGGGCGCUUCCCAGCUUUUAAGUGGCAACAGGAGGAGCCUGGCAUGUCCCUCCAUCAGAGACAGACGGGAAGAGCUCACGGACCAAAGGGAAGAGAGCAUAUGGAAUGUGUUACAUGUCUGUCGGUGAAGAAAGGAGCUUUAAAAAGUUCAGAAGGAAACUAGAUACAUUUCCAAACAAAAAAAGGUUGAAAAAUACAGGGCAUUCAGCAGCUUCCAAACCACUCAGCAGGAGAGAGAAUCUCUGGAGCUGCAGCUGGAGUGAAACCUGAUUAUAUAGACAGCAGUGGUGCAGCCAGCUAGGACAGCCAGGUACAAGUGCAGUCAGCUCUCCAGCAAAACAAGCACCAGAAGCAUGAGGUGUUUCUGCUUUUGGUGUGCCACAGGGUACGUAUUUUUACACUUCUGAAUUGAGUCCAGCCAGGAUCUGUCAAAGUCAGGGCUGCUUGCAGCACAGAGGCAAAUGAGUAUGCCAAGCAACUCAAGAAGGCACUGUAAGUAGCAGAUGGCAUUUUCAGAGUAUUGACACAAUUUAUGAACUCCCUGGACAGGUGUUUGCACUCCCUUGAGCCCAGGAAAGGGACACAGAGCACUUGCAGCAAUGGAAGCUGUGUGAUGGUGUCUGUGUGACUCCUGGGCUCAAUACCCCACCACCAUUAGGAGAACUGUCCUGAAAAAGAAAGGCUGGGUCCGGGUCCAUGGGUAACUUUCACCUCCUCAUCCUCUGAACUGGUUUCUCCAGAAGUAGGUUGUUCUGGGGAGUAAUCUGGGAUAAAAAUCCAAGACAGUCUGUGGCCCUUGGCUCCAUAGAUAAACUGCAGCUUAGUAGUAGGAACCAGAAGUACUCUUUACAGCAGAGUGGGAUGAGUCCUCAGUACCCUUCUCUUCCUAAGUACAACCUGAGCACAUCCAGAAAUACAUUCCUAUCAGACUCUUCAACUGCCCUGCAAGCAGGCAAAUUUUUCUAAGCUUCUUCCCUACUCCCAGCAACUCCUGUUGCCCUUCCAUUUAUUUUAUCAAUAGAAGAUCUCACUUUCUGGUCACUUAGGACACACAUUAUUUGCAUGGCAGUGAAAAAACAAAAAUGUGUUUAACCUGGAUUUUAGCCCAAAUUCAGGAGCCAUCAGGUUAGGAUAGGCUUACCUGUUCUGAAAGGGCUGAGGUCCAAAUCCUGAGUCUAUCACACAAGGAUGACCUAUUUCUACCAGGAGAUCCCCUACAUCUUAAAGAAUUUUAAAUCAAGAUACAGCAUCUUGACUUCAGACACAACACUGACCACAGUUUAAGUCAAAUACUCUUGGCUUUGUCUCAACAGUGACAAAUUCCAGCCUAAAUGGUAGCUUGCAAAAACCCUCCAUGAUCCCAUCCCUAUACCCAGCAGCAGUGAUUCAUCAUUCGCAGUGAUAAAGGACAGUACAGGCACACAGGUACUUUUUUUCUUUUUUUUUAUUGCUGUUAAUUCAAGGAAAAAGGUUGCAUAAAAUCCAAUCUCUUCUAGAAAUAUAAGUGACCUUUCCAGUACAUUUCAAAUAUCAAAGUAUAUGGUAAACAUACAAAUAAAGAGAAGGUAACAUACCUCCUAUUUACA